This 468-nucleotide ribosomal RNA is filed under the name uncultured bacterium. RNAcentral's name for it is "partial 16S ribosomal RNA". It matches the Rfam family "Bacterial small subunit ribosomal RNA", at positions 28 to 507 of the family's 1533-position model. The record is from RNAcentral.
GACGAACGCUGGCGGCGUGCUUAACACAUGCAAGUCGAACGGACAGGUCCUGCUCUUGUGGGGUGCUCGAGUGCCGCACGGGUGAGUAACACGUGUGUAUCCCGUACCUGUCUUUGGGAUAACACCAGGAAACACCGGCUAUUAUCCGAUAGGAGCUCCUGAUGCACGGUGGGGGAUGGAAAGUUACGGCGGUAGGGGAUGGUUUGGCGGCUUAUCAGCUUGUUGGGCGGGUAGUUGCUGACAAAGGCUUUGACGGAUAGCCGGCCUGGGAAGGUGACCGGCCUCAAUAGGACUGAGAUAGGGCCCAGAAGGCUACGUGAGGCAGUGGUGGAGAACAUUGCGCAAUGGGCGGAAGCCUGUUGCAGAAACGCCGCGUGCGGGAAGACGUCCUACGAGUUGAGAACCACUUUCGCCUGAGACGAAGCGUGAGUGACGGUAAUGGGUAAAAAAGCACCGGCUAACUACGUG